RNAcentral lists this ribosomal RNA (254 nucleotides) under uncultured bacterium. RNAcentral's name for it is "partial 16S ribosomal RNA". It matches the Rfam family "Bacterial small subunit ribosomal RNA", at positions 524 to 776 of the family's 1533-position model. The record is from RNAcentral.
UACGUAGGGGCCUAGCGUUGUCCGGAAUUAUUGGGCGUAAAGAGCUCGUAGGCGGUUCGGCAAGUCGGAUGUGAAAUCUCCACGCUCAACGUGGAGGGGCCAUUCGAAACUGCCGUGACUCGAGUCCGGUAGGGGAGUGUGGAAUUCCCGGUGUAGCGGUGAAAUGCGCAGAUAUCGGGAGGAACACCAGUAGCGAAGGCGGCUCACUGGACCGGUAUUGACGCUGAGGUGCGAAAGCGUGGGGAGCAAACAGG